This 253-nucleotide ribosomal RNA is filed under the name uncultured bacterium. Its description in RNAcentral is "partial 16S ribosomal RNA". It matches the Rfam family "Bacterial small subunit ribosomal RNA", at positions 524 to 776 of the family's 1533-position model. The record is from RNAcentral.
UACGUAGGUGGCAAGCGUUGUCCGGAUUUACUGGGCGUAAAGAGCGCGCAGGCGGUCGUUCAAGUCGGGUGUGAAAGCCCCCGGCUCAACUGGGGAGGGUCACGCGAUACUGAUCGACUCGAAGGCAGGAGAGGGUAGUGGAAUUCCCGGUGUAGUGGUGAAAUGCGUAGAUAUCGGGAGGAACACCAGUGGCGAAGGCGACUACCUGGCCUGUUCUUGACGCUGAGGCGCGAAAGCCAGGGGAGCAAACGGG